AAUACCUUAUGUAGGCCAUCGUUACAUCGUUUUGUUUGUUAUUGUUUACGACCAUUCAAUUAUAUAAUACUAUAGAUUCUAUAGCAUAGAAUGUGUAUUCGAUUGAACAGCCCAAGUUCCUGGCCACUACUUUCAGUAUAACCAAUCGUAAAUUGACGCGUAUAAAAAAUUGAUUACAGCCGGGUGCCUAACUGACCAAUCAAUAUUUACGGAUAUAUUAUUUGUAAUCGAAGUCUGGUUUUUUAUUCUAUACAUACGAUUUUAUAUAAGCUGUAUUAUAGCGAAACAUCCAAA
Cinara cedri is the source of this 294-nucleotide non-coding RNA. The record is from the annotation of a GenBank genome assembly. Lineage: Eukaryota; Metazoa; Arthropoda; Insecta; Hemiptera; Aphididae.